AUACCUCUCUGUACGGGAAGGAUGAGAAGCUUCGACUAAGGUUCGAUUCGAGCGUCAGCGAGAAAGCGUUGCCGCAGGCAACGACCCGAAGGGCGAAGCGCGCAGCGCUGAGUCAUCCUUCCCCCACCACCA
Molecule: small RNA, 132 nt
Filed under: Salmonella enterica
Lineage: Bacteria; Pseudomonadati; Pseudomonadota; Gammaproteobacteria; Enterobacterales; Enterobacteriaceae
Also listed under: 1 other name
Description: RtT sRNA
Rfam family: RtT RNA
About the family: This family represents a bacterial cis-regulatory element known as RtT RNA.
Source: RNAcentral